CGCGCGAUGCCAGAGCGGUAAUGGAGCGGCCUGCAAAGCCGUUGGGGAAACCCGGCGUCGGUUCGAUCCCGACUCGCGCGUCCA
This 84-nucleotide transfer RNA is filed under the name Burkholderia vietnamiensis. RNAcentral describes it as "tRNA-Cys". It matches the Rfam family "tRNA". From Rfam's summary of the family: Transfer RNA (tRNA) molecules are approximately 80 nucleotides in length. Their secondary structure includes four short double-helical elements and three loops (D, anti-codon, and T loops). RNAcentral also lists the same sequence under 2 other names. Lineage: Bacteria; Pseudomonadati; Pseudomonadota; Betaproteobacteria; Burkholderiales; Burkholderiaceae. The record is from RNAcentral.